Petromyzon marinus (sea lamprey) is the source of this 2350-nucleotide non-coding RNA. Lineage: Eukaryota; Metazoa; Chordata; Hyperoartia; Petromyzontiformes; Petromyzontidae. The record is from RefSeq and is a predicted model, not a curated record.
GGCUCUAGAGAGUCAUGGUCUAGAGACUCGGGCUCUAGAGAGUCAUGGUCUAGAGACUCGGGCUCUAGAGAGUCAUGGUCUAGAGACUCGGGCUCUAGAGAGUCAUGGUUUAGAGACUCAGGCUCUAGAGAGUCAUGGUCUAGAGACUCGGGAUCUAGAGUCAUGGUCUAGAGACUCGGGCUCUAGAGAGGCAUGGUCUAGAGACUCGGGCUCUAGAGAGUCAUGGUCACAAGACUCGGGCUCUAGAGAGUCAUGGUCUAGAGACUCAGGCUCUAGAGAGUCAUGGUCUAGAGACUCGGGCUCUAGAGAGUCAUGGUCUAGAGACUCGGGCUCUAGAGAGUCAUGGUCACAAGACUCGGGCUCUAGAGAGGCAUGGUCUAGAGACUCGGGCUCUAGAGAGUCAUGGUCACAAGACUCGGGCUCUAGAGAGUCAUGGUCUAGAGACUCGCAGUCUAGACAGUCAUGGUCUACAGACCCGGGCUCUAGAGACCAUCUGACCACUCUCAGGAUGCAAUCUCUUCCCGUCAUGCCCAUAAUCAUCAUCAAAAUUACCGUCACGAUCAGCGCAAUCAUCAUCAUGACCAUCACCUAACGACAACGUCUAACAUCAUGGUUACAAGUUAACAGCACAUAUACACAGGUGAUAGCAUAGGUACACACACACGUACACACACAUGUACACACACUCGUACGCGUGCGCAGGUGUAUGUGUGCCCGUGAACACGCGUGUGCCCGUGAACACGCGUGUGCGUGUCAUUCUUUUUCUCGCCUCAUUUUAAUUUAUAUAUAAAAAAACCACAUGGACGGCUAGAGUGAGCAGGGCGGUUAGUGACACCGACAGAGCAGUGAACAACGCAAAUAAAUAAAGCAGUGUCAUUAACUAUUCAUUCACUAUUCAUCUAGCCAGGUGAGAGCCACGCAAUUGAUAUUCACUAUUCAUAUAGUUAAAUGAGAGCGACCCCGUUGAGAUUCACUAUUCAUCUAGCCAGGUGAGAGCUACCCCACUGAGAUUCACUAUUUAUAUAGCCAGGUGAGAGUGACCCCGUUGAGAUUCACUAUUCAUCUAGCCAGGUGAGAGCUACCCCACUGAGAUUCACUAUUCAUAUAGCCAGGUGAGAGCUACCCCACUGAGAUUCACUAUUCAUCUAGCCAGGUGAGAGCUACCCCACUGAGAUUCACUUCAUCUAGCCAGGUGAGAGCGACCCCACUGAGAUUCACUAUUCAUAUAGCCAGGUGAGAGCUACCCCACUGAGAUUCACUAUUCAUAUAGCCAGGUGAGAGCGACCCCAGUGAGAUUCACUAUUCAUCUAGCCACGUGAGAGCUACCCCACUGAGAUUCACUAUUGAUCUAGCCAGGUGAGAGCUACCCCACUGAGAUUCACUAUUCAUCUAGCCACGUGAGAGCUACCCCACUGAGAUUCACUAUUCAUAUAGCCAGGUGAGAGCUACCCCACUGAGAUUCACUAUUCAUCUAGCCACGUGAGAGCUACCCCACUGAGAUUCACUAUUGAUCUAGCCAGGUGAGAGCUACCCCACUGAGAUUCACUAUUCAUCUAGCCACGUGAGAGCUACCCCACUGAGAUUCACUAUUCAUAUAGCCAGGUGAGAGCUACCCCACUGAGAUUCACUAUUCAUCUAGCCAGGUGAGAGUGACCCCAGUGAGAUUCACUAUUCAUCUAGCCACGUGAGAGCUACCCCACUGAGAUUCACUAUUCAUAUAGCCAGGUGAGAGCUACCCCACUGAGAUUCACUUCAUCUAGCCAGGUGAGAGCCACUCUACUGAGAUUCACUAUUCAUCUAGCCACGUGAGAGCUACCCCACUGAGAUUCACUAUUCAUCUAGCCAGGUGAGAGCUAACCCCCCCUGAGAUUCACUAUUCAUAUAGCCAGGUGAGAGCGACCCCAGUGAGAUUCACUAUUCAUCUAGCCAGGUGAGAGCUAACCCCCCCUGAGAUUCACUAUUCAUAUAGCCAGGUGAGAGCGACCCCACUGAGAUUCACUAUUCAUCUAGCCAGGUGAGAGCCACUCCACUGAGAUUCACUAUUCAUCUAGCCAGGUGAGAGCCACUCCAAUGAUAUUCACUAUUCAUAUAGCCAGGUGAGAGCUACCCCACUGAGAUUCACUAUUCAUCUAGCCAGGUGAGAGCGACCCCACUGAGAUUCACUAUUCAUCUAGCCAGGUGAGAUGAAUAGUGUGCAGACACCAUUGUCUAGACUCUCACCAAUGUGUUAUCACCACUGUGUAGACUCGCCACCUCACCACUGUGUAGACUCACCACCUCACCACUGUGUAGACACUCACCACUGUGUAGACUCAUCACCUCACCACUUUGAAGACUCUCACCACUGUGU